Homo sapiens (human) is the source of this 239-nucleotide long non-coding RNA. RefSeq lists it as uncharacterized. The transcript is spliced from 2 exons. Lineage: Eukaryota; Metazoa; Chordata; Mammalia; Primates; Hominidae. The record is from RefSeq and is a predicted model, not a curated record.
GCCCCUCAGUGUCCAGUCUGCCUUGGCUGGAGGGGCUGCAGGGGUGUGUUGGCGCCACCUGGUGGAGACAGGGCAUCACAGCAGAUAUUUGCACUCCUGGUUAUGAAGCCUUCACACUUGGACUGAAUACACCACCAGCUUUCCCGAUUUCCAGCGUGCAAAUGGCAGAUCGUGAGACUUCUCAGCUUCCAUAAUUACAUGAGCCAAUUUAUAUAUAUAAAUUGGGUCCUCCAGAAAAA